This 1030-nucleotide long non-coding RNA is filed under the name Numida meleagris (helmeted guineafowl). RNAcentral's name for it is "lncRNA (ENSNMEG00000005570.1)". The record is from RNAcentral. Lineage: Eukaryota; Metazoa; Chordata; Aves; Galliformes; Numididae.
AGUGGCACAGUGCUCUGGGUCCUCUGAAGGCCUGGAUAGCACUCUGCAACUGUUACAAGUAUUACAACCACUAGGCCUUUCAAUAUUCAACAGUAUUCUGUUAAACUUCCAUACAUUUUCCAAAUACAGUAAUGAGACCUGACAAAGAAAUUGCAAUAGGAUAGGGCAUUGCAACACAGGGAUGCAGGUUUGUAUCUCCUGGGGACUGGUAGCUGCGGUGCCUUGGGAGUACAUGGCUGGAGGCAACAUCUAAGCUCAGGCUGAGGCCUGUGGCACCUGCCGGUACAUGGCAAUCUUCCUUCCCUUCUGGUGCCCUGAUCCUUGUUCGCAGGUUACUGAUCUGAGGCUGUUUGGUUAAAUGAUAGCCAUUACACCAACAUAUGGCUGUCCAGGUGUUGUGUAAGGUCUGCUGGCAUGCUUCUGUGCCCAUGUAUAUGUAGACGUAUAGCAACCACUCUGUAUUACAGGGUGUAUCCAAAUUCAGAGGAAAGCUUCAGGCCAAUUGUUUUUUGAGGAACUUUCCAAAGGACUGCUCUGCAUCGUUUAGGAGACUGAGAGUGCCACGUCGCUCGCUGCAAGGACAUACCAUAAUUGUACUUGGCUGCAACAACGACAGGAGUGCAAAACUGGAUCACAGGGACCCUCUAGUGUUCCCAGCCUGCAUGCUGCAGCACCUUCUGCCUGAGUAAGGCAGUUAGACAUUGCUCUGCAGUCUGCUGAGUUAAGUAUCACUACUUCUGCUGCUUUUUUUUUUUUUUUCUUUUCUUCCCCUUUGGGGCUUCAAAUGCUUAUCAGGUAAAGAAAUCAAAUCCUGCUGAAUGCUGUGGGUCAGCAGAAUCGUUUUUCAGCUAUUCUGAUUGAUAAAAUGAGAAAAGUAUUUUGAGCCAUCUUUUCAGCAUCCUGCUCCAAAGAAAACAAAAGCUGUACUUUUCAACAUAGUCACAAAGAUAAUGCUUUUCACCUAUUUUUUUUUUAAGCAAAGCAGAAACUGCUUUGUGUCAAGAAUAAAAGUGUUAGACUUCAAAAGGCC